Molecule: ribosomal RNA, 253 nt
Filed under: uncultured bacterium
Lineage: Bacteria
Description: partial 16S ribosomal RNA
Rfam family: Bacterial small subunit ribosomal RNA
Source: RNAcentral
UACGGCGGGUGCGGGCGUUAAUCGGAAUUACUGGGCGUAAAGCGCGCGUAGGCGGUUUGUUAAGUCAGCUGUGAAAGCCCCGGGCUUAACCUGGGAACUGCAGUUGAUACUGGCCGACUAGAGUACGAGAGAGGGAGGUAGAAUUCCAUGUGUAGCGGUGAAAUGCGUAGAUAUAUGGAGGAAUACCGGUGGCGAAGGCGGCCUCCUGGCUCGAUACUGACGCUGAGGUGCGAAAGCGUGGGGAGCAAACAGG